GGACCAUCCUCCAAGGCUAAAUACUCCUGACUGACCGAUAGUGAACCAGUACCGUGAGGGAAAGGCGAAAAGAACCCCGGCGAGGGGAGUGAAAAAGAACCUGAAACCGUGUACGUACAAGCAGUGGGAGCACCCUUUGGGGUGUGACUGCGUACCUUUUGUAUAAUGGGUCAGCGACUUAUAUUCUGUAGCAAGGUUAACCGAAUAGGGGAGCCGGAGGGAAACCGAGUCUUAAUUGGGCGUUAAGUUGCAGGGUAUAGACCCGAAACCCGGUGAUCUAGCCAUGGGCAGGUUGAAGGUUGGGUAACACUAACUGGAGGACCGAACCGACUAAUGUUGAAAAAUUAGCGGAUGACCUGUGGCUGGGGGUGAAAGGCCAAUCAAACCGGGAGAUAGCUGGUUCUCCCCGAAAGCUAUUUAGGUAGCGCCUCGUGAAUUCAUCUCCGGGGGUAGAGCACUGUUUCGGCUAGGGGGCCAUCCCGGCUUACCAACCCGAUGCAAACUGCGAAUACCGGAGAAUGUUAUCACGGGAGACACACGGCGGGUGCUAACGUCCGUCGUGAAGAGGGAAACAACCCAGACCGCCAGCUAAGGUCCCAAAGUCAUGGUUAAGUGGGAAACGAUGUGGGAAGGCCCAGACAGCCAGGAUGUUGGCUUAGAAGCAGCCAUCAUUUAAAGAAAGCGUAAUAGCUCACUGGUCGAGUCGGCCUGCGCGGAAGAUGUAACGGGGCUAAACCAUG
Molecule: ribosomal RNA, 740 nt
Filed under: Salmonella enterica subsp. enterica serovar Abony
Lineage: Bacteria; Pseudomonadati; Pseudomonadota; Gammaproteobacteria; Enterobacterales; Enterobacteriaceae
Description: partial 23S ribosomal RNA
Rfam family: Bacterial large subunit ribosomal RNA
Source: RNAcentral